Triticum aestivum (bread wheat) is the source of this 1007-nucleotide long non-coding RNA. RefSeq lists it as uncharacterized. The record is from RefSeq and is a predicted model, not a curated record. NCBI's taxonomy places the organism in Eukaryota, Viridiplantae, Streptophyta, Magnoliopsida, Poales, Poaceae. The transcript is spliced from 3 exons.
UUCCACCACCACCACAGCCCCACCUUAUCCACUGCUGGCCUCCACAGACGGGCAGCGGCGCGCUUGCCGCGGCGUCCGCUCCGCUCGAGCCCAGUAAUGGGGCGAGGCGUCGCGGCGCCGGCGUUCCUGCACGCCUUGUCGGCCUUGGAGCUAGCCUUCGCGGGGGCGGGCCGAGGCGUCGCGGUAGAGCACGAUAAGCAGACAGGCACGCGCCGCCGGCGCGCUUGCCGUGGGCGUCCGCUUCACCCGAGCCCAGGAGUGGGGCGAGGCGUCGCGGCGGCGUUCCUACGCGCCUUGUCGCCCUCGAAGCUGGCCUUGGCGGGCCGAGGCGUCGCGGCGGAGGACGACAAGGCGGCCGGCGUGCUCUGUUGGGGUGAGGCGUCGCGGCGCUCCGGCUCCGGCAGAUGACGACAGAAAGCCAGGUGUGGCUUGGCGUCGCCAAGAGCCACGAGGUCGUCGGCGCCGGCCACCGCGCCAGGCUGGACCAGCUGCUGCAGCCCCCCUGCGUCGUCGCCGUCGCCGUGGCACAAGAAGCACGAGUCCCCCCUCGCUGUCGGAGGCUGGGUGUCGUUCUAUAGUGCAGAUUGUCUAAUUGAGUUUCUGAAAGCAUCGUCCACGUCUGCCACUUCAUGGGUCCGUACACUGGGAACUCACGCCUGAGAACUUCCUGCUCACCAGAUUUGAUUUCAGUUUCUCUGUCUCCAUCGAAGAAAUGGCAAGCAUGGUUAAGGCGAGCAACGAGGGUUCCUGUAGUGCAUAACCAUUUCAAGUCGCCCAAGUUCUAAAGAGAGAUCAGAAGUGCCAGCUACUGAAGCAAAAAAAAAGGACCUGAUACACAUUGUAAUCAUGGACUGCUGAUAUACCUGAUGCAUUUCUUCAUGAUGGUGAUAUUCCUAAUGGUUGCUACUGACGCUGAAAAAAUUACUCCUGAAGCACUAGAAGUGCCCUCUCUAUGGCGCAUCACUCACUGGAUCCAGAUGGGCAACAUUCCGCUUCAAGAUUAAAGA